RNAcentral lists this ribosomal RNA (319 nucleotides) under Ixodes affinis. RNAcentral's name for it is "partial 12S ribosomal RNA". Lineage: Eukaryota; Metazoa; Arthropoda; Arachnida; Ixodida; Ixodidae. The record is from RNAcentral.
UUAGAUACCCUAUUAUUUUAAGCUAUAUAUUGGUAGUAAUUAAUAAUUUAUGAAAUCAUAAGAUUUUGGCGGUAUUUUAAGCUUAUUAGAGGAAUUUGCUCUGUGAUGGAUACAACGCCUCGAUCUUACUUAAUUUGGUUUUAAAAGUCAGUUUGUAUACCACUAUAUUUAAUUAUAUUGAAUAAUUAUAUUUAAGAUUUUUAUAAAAAAAAUAUAUUAAGUCAAGGUGCAAUUAAUAAUUAUGAAUGAAGUGAAUUACAUUAAUUUUAAUUUUAUUAAAAUAUUGAAAAAAAAAUUUUUUUAGGAUUUAAUAGUAAAA